Molecule: ribosomal RNA, 530 nt
Filed under: Diaporthe fraxini-angustifoliae
Lineage: Eukaryota; Fungi; Ascomycota; Sordariomycetes; Diaporthales; Diaporthaceae
Description: eukaryotic LSU rRNA
Rfam family: 5.8S ribosomal RNA (bases 173-326)
Source: RNAcentral
UGGAACGCGCCCCAGGCGCACCCAGAAACCCUUUGUGAACUUAUACCUUUUGUUGCCUCGGCGCAUGCUGGUCUCUAGUAGGCCCCUCACCCCGGUGAGGAGACGGCACGCCGGCGGCCAAAUCAACUCUGUUUUUACACUGAAACUCUGAGAAAAAACACAAAUGAAUCAAAACUUUCAACAACGGAUCUCUUGGUUCUGGCAUCGAUGAAGAACGCAGCGAAAUGCGAUAAGUAAUGUGAAUUGCAGAAUUCAGUGAAUCAUCGAAUCUUUGAACGCACAUUGCGCCCUCUGGUAUUCCGGAGGGCAUGCCUGUUCGAGCGUCAUUUCAACCCUCAAGCAUUGCUUGGUGUUGGGGCACUGCCUGUAAAAGGGCAGGCCCUGAAAUCUAGUGGCGAGCUCGCCAGGACCCCGAGCGCAGUAGUUAAACCCUCGCUUUGGAAGGCCCUGGCGGUGCCCUGCCGUUAAACCCCCAACUUUUGAAAAUUUGACCUCGGAUCAGGUAGGAAUACCCGCUGAACUUAAGCAUA